Molecule: ribosomal RNA, 492 nt
Filed under: uncultured bacterium
Lineage: Bacteria
Description: partial 16S ribosomal RNA
Rfam family: Bacterial small subunit ribosomal RNA
Source: RNAcentral
AGUGAACGCUGGCGGUAGGCCUAACACAUGCAAGUCGAACGGCAGCACAGUAAGAGCUUGCUCUUACGGGUGGCGAGUGGCGGACGGGUGAGGAAUACAUCGGAAUCUACUUUUUCGUGGGGGAUAACGUAGGGAAACUUACGCUAAUACCUCAUACGACCUACGGCUGAAAGCAGGGGAUCUUCGGACCUUGCGCGAUUGAAUGAGCCGAUGUCGGAUUAGCUAGUUGGCGGGGUAAAGGCCCACCAAGGCGACGAUCCGUAGCUGGUCUGAGAGGAUGAUCAGCCACACUGGAACUGAGACACGGUCCAGACUCCUACGGGAGGCAGCAGUGGGGAAUAUUGCACAAUGGGCGCAAGCCUGAUGCAGCCAUACCGCGUGGGUGAAGAAGGCCUUCGGGUUGUAAAGCCCUUUUGUUGGGAAAGAAAAGAAGCAGGUUAAUACCCCGAUGUUCUGACGGUACCCAAAGAAUAAGCACCGGCUAACUUCGUG